ACAUACAAGUAAUAACUUUGAGAUUUCAUUACAACUAAUAAAGAGUUUAUUAAGAACAAAAGAAAAAUAAUUCAAAGAAAAUGGGUAUAAUGGCCAACAAAGGCAAGUCAAAUAAUGAAGAAAAAGUCAAAAUAGUAGGGCCGGUUCAGUUCAACAUAAUCAUAGAACUGCCAUCACCGAGGCCCAAUAGUAUCUCAGUUCAAAACAAACAAUGGAUAACAAUAAUAUAAUACAGGAAUCAAAAUAGUCAAUGAGAUACACAACUGUCUCUUCUCAAGGCAAAAUUUGGUCUUUUACAUACGACCCAAAUCUGGUCCUUAUAAAAAGAACACAUACAGGAAAGGAUAAGAGACUAAGUAGACAUAAUAUUUACAUAAACCAACUUAUUAACAACAAAUAAAUGAAGUCUACUUAGCUCGUUAGUGAAAGAUACAUUCCCAAAAUGUGGCACACUCCUCUUGAUUAACACAGUCAGAGCAGAACAUCAAAACUAUCAUAUAAACAUUAUGGAGAUUUAGUUCACAAUAAUGUACAGUGGUCAGCUCAGAGACUGAAGAGGAAGUGGCAAUUGUAAACAGCUGACAGGGACUUAAAUCAAGUAAUAAAGGGGGCUAACUCUCAUAAAAAAUAAAGGUAGCCACCCUUAUUGUCCCUCUUGUCACAUCAUCCCUAUAGAUUGCACACUAAAACUAUCGAAGAAAGAAUA
Non-coding RNA from Biomphalaria pfeifferi, 706 nucleotides. The record is from the annotation of a GenBank genome assembly. NCBI's taxonomy places the organism in Eukaryota, Metazoa, Mollusca, Gastropoda, Planorbidae.